UUCUACCUUGAAAUUUCUCAACCUGGCAUUUAUGUGUACGUGCGCACAGCGAUUCAUAUCAAAGCCGGUUUCAACUUUCAAGUAGAAUACGCCAACAUACCUAUUACCUUUGUGCCGAUAAGUGUACAUGGUUUCGAAGACCUGGACGAAUACUAAUUCUUAUCACGGGAACUUCGCCUUCGCAUUCGCGUGAUGAGACAAAUUGUCAGCGCAAGACAUUAUAUACCGAACAUAUACAAUCGACGACGCUUUCGCGUCGCCGCCAUUAGUAUACGCUCAUACACUGUGCUCCAAAUGUAUAUUCGUGACACGCAGUCGAUAGUGCAGUUAUGAACAAACCAAACGACAGUACAUAAAUAUGUAUAAUAUCGGCUGAUCGAGGGCACUUAGAGCUGCGAAAUCGAGUAUUUAAUUCGAUUGAAAAUUCUACCGUCAUUCUUUUAUCCCAGAAGUUUGUAAGAAACCGAUGAAAACCGAUCGUUUAGACAACGAAAAAUUGCGUUCCCGGUCGCCGUACUGCCCGAACUGCCAACGACUGCAGCAGACGGAUCGCCCGGGGAUUGUUUUCGCUUUUAGCCGAUCGCUCGAGAACACAUAUCGCUGUGAUCCAAGCCGCAUACGAACGUCGCAAACGGUAAUCGGCCUUUUUGCAUCCCUGCAAGUGAGUGCGGCUAUGCGAGCAACAGAUUCGGAACAUGUUUGCACAGUUCGUGAAAAAAUCUCGCCGGAUCGAUUGAACCAGCGGCGCCGAACUUGUAAAACUGUACUCGAACCGAAUAAAAAUACAACGGCCACAAGCCUUAAUUUUUACUUUGCAUAGAAAAAUAAUUUUUGAUCUCAAAUCACAAGUAUUGACCA
Sipha flava (yellow sugarcane aphid) is the source of this 858-nucleotide long non-coding RNA. RefSeq lists it as uncharacterized. The record is from RefSeq and is a predicted model, not a curated record. The transcript is spliced from 3 exons. NCBI's taxonomy places the organism in Eukaryota, Metazoa, Arthropoda, Insecta, Hemiptera, Aphididae.